GGGUGUUCCUUUUGUUUCUAAUUUCUCAGAUGUGUCUGUGUUGAGCCUCCAGCGGUUCUUCAGUUGAAUUCAGAUUUCCCUGCCUUGGUGCUGGUUCCUGCAGAGACUCCUGCUCCCAAGUAUUUGCUCUGAAUUUCAACUGACUCGGACUCCUCUGACUCCUCAGAAAUGAGUAGAUUGAAUCUUAAAGGGUAUUUCUAGUCCUGAAUGCUGGGUAUGUGGUUAUUCAC
RNAcentral lists this long non-coding RNA (230 nucleotides) under Mustela putorius furo (domestic ferret). Its description in RNAcentral is "lncRNA (ENSMPUG00000029238.1)". Lineage: Eukaryota; Metazoa; Chordata; Mammalia; Carnivora; Mustelidae. The record is from RNAcentral.